RNAcentral lists this ribosomal RNA (329 nucleotides) under uncultured eukaryote. RNAcentral's name for it is "partial 18S ribosomal RNA". It matches the Rfam family "Eukaryotic small subunit ribosomal RNA", at positions 1470 to 1796 of the family's 1831-position model. The record is from RNAcentral.
CCCUUAGAUGUUCUGGGCCGCACGCGCGCUACACUGAUUCAUUCAACGAGUCUAAAACCUGCUCUGAUAGGGGUGGGUAAUCUUUUGAAUGUGCAUCGUGAUUGGGAUAGAUGAUUGCAAUUUUUCAUCUUCAACGAGGAAUGCCUAGUAAACGCAAGUCAUCAGCUUGCAUUGAUUACGUCCCUGCCCUUUGUACACACCGCCCGUCGCUCCUACCGAUUGAAUGAUCCGAUGAAUAUCAUGGAUUGAGGAUGCAAGUAGGUUCGCCUAUCUUCAUCUUCGAGAAGUGAAGUAAAUCUUAUCAUUUAGAGGAAGGAGAAGUCGUAACA